CAAAUACUUCCUUCGUCCGGAAAUACUUGUCAUAGGAAUGGAUGUAUCUAAAUGUAUUUUAUUUUUAGAUACAUCCAUUUGUAUCUAUUUUUAUGACAAGUAAUUCUAGGCGGAGGGAGUAUGUU
Hordeum vulgare subsp. vulgare (domesticated barley) is the source of this 125-nucleotide non-coding RNA. NCBI's taxonomy places the organism in Eukaryota, Viridiplantae, Streptophyta, Magnoliopsida, Poales, Poaceae. The record is from Rfam.